RNAcentral lists this ribosomal RNA (492 nucleotides) under uncultured bacterium. Its description in RNAcentral is "partial 16S ribosomal RNA". It matches the Rfam family "Bacterial small subunit ribosomal RNA", at positions 29 to 507 of the family's 1533-position model. The record is from RNAcentral.
AGUGAACGCUGGCGGUAGGCCUAACACAUGCAAGUCGAACGGCAGCACAGUAAGAGCUUGCUCUUACGGGUGGCGAGUGGCGGACGGGUGAGGCAUACAUCGGAAUCUACUUUUUCGUGGGGGAUAACGUAGGGAAACUUACGCUAAUACCGCAUACGACCUACGGGUGAAAGCAGGGGAUCUUCGGACCUUGCGCGAUUGAAUGAGCCGAUGUCGGAUUAGCUAGUUGGCGGGGUAAAGGCCCACCAAGGCGACGAUCCGUAGCUGGUCUGAGAGGAUGAUCAGCCACACUGGAACUGAGACACGGUCCAGACUCCUACGGGAGGCAGCAGUGGGGAAUAUUGGACAAUGGGCGCAAGCCUGAUCCAGCCAUGCCGCGUGAGUGAAGAAGGCCUUCGGGUUGUAAAGCCCUUUUGUUAGGAAAGAAAAGCAGCAGAUUAAUACCCCGCUGUUCUGACGGUACCCAAAGAGUAAGCACCGGCUAACUUCGUG